This 1451-nucleotide ribosomal RNA is filed under the name metagenome. Its description in RNAcentral is "bacterial LSU rRNA". It matches the Rfam family "Bacterial large subunit ribosomal RNA", at positions 1456 to 2925 of the family's 2925-position model. The record is from RNAcentral.
UGACAGAACUGUGGGGACACGUAAGGAAAGCGGAAGCCGGGAAUGGAAAGCCCGGUGCAAGCGGGGUACCAGCCACUUUGGCAAAUCCGGGUGGCAAUGGGAAGCCGUGAUGCGGAGCGAAAUAAAGUAGUGAAGUCCGUGAGCCAUGCGUCAAGAAAAGCCGCUAUCGUUUAUACCGUACCCGUACCGUAAACCGACACAGGUGGAUGAGGAGAGAAUCCUAAGGCCGGCGGAAGAAGCAUUGUCAAGGAACUCGGCAAAAUGGCCCCGUAACUUAGGGAUAAGGGGUGCCUGGGAAACCAGGCCGCAGAGAAUAGGCUCAAGCAACUGUUUAGCAAAAACACAGGUCUAUGCGAAACCGAAAGGUGAGGUAUAUGGGCUGACGCCUGCCCGGUGCUGGAAGGUUAAGAGGAGAGGUUAGCGGUAACGCGAAGCUUUGAAUUUAAGCCCCAGUAAACGGCGGCCGUAACUAUAACGGUCCUAAGGUAGCGAAAUUCCUUGUCGGGUAAGUUCCGACCCGCACGAAAGGCGUAAUGAUUUGAGCGCUGCCUCGACAAUGCAUCCGGUGAAAUAGAAGUACCAGUGAAGAUGCUGGUUACCUGCGCCAGGACGGAAAGACCCCAUGGAGCUUUACUCCAGUCUGGUACUGGGACUCGGUAUUGCAUGUACAGGAUAGGUGGGAGGCUAGGAGAUGGUAACGCCAGUUGCCAUGGAGCCGCUGUUGGGAUACCACCCUUGCAGUAUUGGGUUUCUAACCAGCCGCCGUGACCCGGCGGUGGGACAAUGCCAGACGGGGAGUUUGACUGGGGCGGUCGCCUCCGAAAGGGUAUCGGAGGCGCCCAAAGGUUCCCUCAGAAUGGACGGAAACCAUUCGAAGAGUGCAAAGGCAGAAGGGAGCUUGACUGCGACACCGACGGGUGGAGCAGGUACGAAAGUAGGGCUUAGUGAUCCGGUGGUAUUAAGUGGGAAUGCCAUCGCUCAACGGAUAAAAGCUACCCUGGGAUAACAGGCUUAUCACUCCCAAGAGUUCACAUCGACGGAGUGGUUUGGCACCUCGAUGUCGGCUCAUCGCAUCCUGGGGCUGUAGUAGGUCCCAAGGGUUGGGCUGUUCGCCCAUUAAAGCGGUACGCGAGCUGGGUUCAGAACGUCGUGAGACAGUUCGGUCCCUAUCCGGCGUGGGCGUAGGAUAUCUGAGAGGAGCUGUCCUUAGUACGAGAGGACCGGGAUGGACGGGCCGCUGGUGCAUCGGUUAGACUGCCAAGUCUACGGCCGAGUAGCCAAGCCCGGAAGGGAUAAACGCUGAAGGCAUCUAAGCGUGAAGCCCCCCUUAAGAUGAGAUAUCCCAUUCGUUAAGAAGUAAACCCCCUUGAAGACGACGAGGUAGAUAGGGCAGAGGUGGAAGUGUGGCAACACAUGGAGCUGACUGUUACUAAUCGGGUGAGGGCUUGACC